UACGGAGGGUGCAAGCGUUAUCCGGAUUUACUGGGUUUAAAGGGUGCGUAGGUGGGUCUGUAAGUCAGUGGUGAAAUCUCCGAGCUUAACUCGGAAACUGCCAUUGAUACUAUAGGUCUUGAAUUAUCUGGAGGUAAGCGGAAUAUGUCAUGUAGCGGUGAAAUGCUUAGAUAUGACAUAGAACACCAAUUGCGAAGGCAGCUUACUACAGGGACAUUGACACUGAGGCACGAAAGCGUGGGGAUCAAACAGG
Molecule: ribosomal RNA, 253 nt
Filed under: uncultured bacterium
Lineage: Bacteria
Description: partial 16S ribosomal RNA
Rfam family: Bacterial small subunit ribosomal RNA
Source: RNAcentral